CGCUGGCGGCGUGCCUAAUACAUGCAAGUCGAACGAACUCUGGUAUUGAUUGGUGCUUGCAUCAUGAUUUACAUUUGAGUGAGUGGCGAACUGGUGAGUAACACGUGGGAAACCUGCCCAGAAGCGGGGGAUAACACCUGGAAACAGAUGCUAAUACCGCAUAACAACUUGGACCGCAUGGUCCGAGCUUGAAAGAUGGCUUCGGCUAUCACUUUUGGAUGGUCCCGCGGCGUAUUAGCUAGAUGGUGGGGUAACGGCUCACCAUGGCAAUGAUACGUAGCCGACCUGAGAGGGUAAUCGGCCACAUUGGGACUGAGACACGGCCCAAACUCCUACGGGAGGCAGCAGUAGGGAAUCUUCCACAAUGGACGAAAGUCUGAUGGAGCAACGCCGCGUGAGUGAAGAAGGGUUUCGGCUCGUAAAACUCUGUUGUUAAAGAAGAACAUAUCUGAGAGUAACUGUUCAGGUAUUGACGGUAUUUAACCAGAAAGCCACGGCUAACUACGUGCCAGCAGCCGCGGUAAUACGUAGGUGGCAAGCGUUGUCCGGAUUUAUUGGGCGUAAAGCGAGCGCAGGCGGUUUUUUAAGUCUGAUGUGAAAGCCUUCGGCUCAACCGAAGAAGUGCAUCGGAAACUGGGAAACUUGAGUGCAGAAGAGGACAGUGGAACUCCAUGUGUAGCGGUGAAAUGCGUAGAUAUAUGGAAGAACACCAGUGGCGAAGGCGGCUGUCUGGUCUGUAACUGACGCUGAGGCUCGAAAGUAUGGGUAGCAAACAGGAUUAGAUACCCUGGUAGUCCAUACCGUAAACGAUGAAUGCUAAGUGUUGGAGGGUUUCCGCCCUUCAGUGCUGCAGCUAACGCAUUAAGCAUUCCGCCUGGGGAGUACGGCCGCAAGGCUGAAACUCAAAGGAAUUGACGGGGGCCCGCACAAGCGGUGGAGCAUGUGGUUUAAUUCGAAGCUACGCGAAGAACCUUACCAGGUCUUGACAUACUAUGCAAAUCUAAGAGAUUAGACGUUCCCUUCGGGGACAUGGAUACAGGUGGUGCAUGGUUGUCGUCAGCUCGUGUCGUGAGAUGUUGGGUUAAGUCCCGCAACGAGCGCAACCCUUAUUAUCAGUUGCCAGCAUUAAGUUGGGCACUCUGGUGAGACUGCCGGUGACAAACCGGAGGAAGGUGGGGAUGACGUCAAAUCAUCAUGCCCCUUAUGACCUGGGCUACACACGUGCUACAAUGGAUGGUACAACGAGUUGCGAACUCGCGAGAGUAAGCUAAUCUCUUAAAGCCAUUCUCAGUUCGGAUUGUAGGCUGCAACUCGCCUACAUGAAGUCGGAAUCGCUAGUAAUCGCGGAUCAGCAUGCCGCGGUGAAUACGUUCCCGGGCCUUGUACACACCGCCCGUCACACCAUGAGAGUUUGUAACACCCAAAGUCGGUGGGGUAACCUUUUAGGAACCAGCCGCCUAAGGUGGGACAGAUGAUUA
RNAcentral lists this ribosomal RNA (1478 nucleotides) under Lactiplantibacillus plantarum. RNAcentral's name for it is "bacterial SSU rRNA". It matches the Rfam family "Bacterial small subunit ribosomal RNA". The record is from RNAcentral. Lineage: Bacteria; Bacillati; Bacillota; Bacilli; Lactobacillales; Lactobacillaceae.